AGACGAUAAUACUAAACCAUUCGCGAGAAUGGGACGGAAAGCCUAAAGGGUCUCACCGAGACAGCCAGGUCGCCGAA
RNAcentral lists this non-coding RNA (77 nucleotides) under Geotalea uraniireducens. RNAcentral's name for it is "Geobacter uraniireducens c-di-GMP sequence". It matches the Rfam family "c-di-GMP-I riboswitch aptamer". Rfam says of the family: GEMM was predicted in a large-scale screen for bacterial structured RNA regulatory elements. Genes associated with GEMM are involved in a diverse array of functions, including chemotaxis regulation, signal transduction, secretion and chitin. The record is from RNAcentral. RNAcentral also lists the same sequence under 1 other name. Lineage: Bacteria; Pseudomonadati; Thermodesulfobacteriota; Desulfuromonadia; Geobacterales; Geobacteraceae.